CACCCGCGUACGGGGCUGGAAGCGCACGGCGGUGGCCUCCGGGGCCGCCUUCGCCCUCGCCCUCGGCGGCCUCGGGACGUACGAGGCCCUCGCGGGCACC
This 100-nucleotide transfer RNA is filed under the name Streptomyces lavendulae subsp. lavendulae. RNAcentral describes it as "tRNA-Arg". Lineage: Bacteria; Bacillati; Actinomycetota; Actinomycetes; Kitasatosporales; Streptomycetaceae. The record is from RNAcentral.